This is a non-coding RNA of Pyramidobacter piscolens W5455, 92 nucleotides long. The record is from Rfam. Lineage: Bacteria; Thermotogati; Synergistota; Synergistia; Synergistales; Dethiosulfovibrionaceae.
CUUUUAUCAAGAGUCAGGGGAGAGAGUCAGCUCGACGAUCCUGCACCAACCUGCCCGCACGGGAAAGGUGGUCCGGCUGACAGCGAUGAGGG